GCGCUUCAGAAGGGUUGGGCACAGAGUUAGCACUACAGGUUUGCUAUUUAUUAUUAUGACUGCUGGCAGCACGAUCAUUGUGUUUGUUCUUGUAAUUGAGUAGGAGUAUGGAUGGAUAUGACCCUGCCCUUGCACCAGAGAAGUUCUGUUGCCUCUUUGCUGGAGAGAGCACAUCUCCCUCACCAAAAUGGUGUGUGUGAUCCCUUUAAUUAAAUCACCCAUUGGAGAGUGGCGUCCACCAGGUAGACUUGAGCCUUGAAGGCAAAAUGGAGCUCCUCUUAUCCUUCUCCUGUAGGUCCAUGUGUGAGGGGCCUCUACCUCAAUCCUUCCCAAUGCACGGAAUGGAGCCUCAAUUCCUACCCCAAAUGCUCUUGUGAGCAUGAGCUGCCACGAUCCAUGGUUGGGUUGACUUCAGCUGCUUUUGUGUCUCAGCAGGUGUCCCCAACCUCAUUUCCAACAAUAGGAUGCUGAAAGAUGGUCCUAGAUGCACUCUAGAGACAUUCACCUGUUUGCUGAAAGGAAAGGAUGUAGACAUGCAUGAAGGGACUAAAGAGGCAAUCAUUAAGCCCAGUGCCAGCCAGGAUACAGGCAAUUAUUCAAACCCAGGCUCUGUGGCAGAGGCAGGGAGGACAAUGCCACAUAAACCACAGAACACCCCACAGGGAGCAAACAUGAGGCAGCGAUUAUUGCAUCAUACUAUCCAGACUUACUCAACUGUGAUAUUUGAGAAGCCUGGGCCACCUGGAGUACGUUUAGCGGCAGAACCCAGGAGAGGUGGCUACCAGCCCAACACAUAUUGACAUCUGUGGUGAGAGACCCAGGCCUCUGAGCAGAAUCUCCAAGGAACAGGAGAAGAUGAAGGGUAAACUAGCAAAUUAUCACAAUGAAGCAAGACUACGAGCUCUAGAGAGAUUAAACAGAACACGCACUGGGAGAAAAGGGGAGGGAGCAAUUGCUUCAGCCUCGCGUGAGCCCUCUGUUUGCACAGCCUGCUCUUGAAGGAUUUGGAUAAAGGUUGUGUGCCUCCCUCUUACCUUCAGCUGGGAUGAAAGCAGAAACAGCCUCUCUUCAGAGAAGAAAAGAAAGAUGACCUGGCGUUGUGAUAGUACCUGUAUCAUCUUGGACGAGUCACUGAACUUUCCACUAUUUCAGUUUCUUCAUCUGUGCACUGGGGAUCGAGAUAAUAUCCACCUCCACACCCUGCACUGCCUCCAAUGACUGACGUGAAGAGCAAGUAAGGUUGUUUCCGGUUUUUGCUGUUAGACUCAGUGUUGCUAUAAGCAUCUGUACACAUCUCCUGGUGUGUAUAAGAAACUGUAUGGAGUAUUUUUCUAGUAGUGGAAAUGCUGGGACUUAGGGUAAGUACGUAUUCAGUUCUUUGAGGAUAAUUUCA
Molecule: long non-coding RNA, 1393 nt
Filed under: Equus asinus (donkey)
Lineage: Eukaryota; Metazoa; Chordata; Mammalia; Perissodactyla; Equidae
Description: lncRNA (ENSEASG00005034168.1)
Source: RNAcentral